ACUACCUAAGAUUUUUUUUAAAUCCAUAAAAAAUUCACACUGAGUCGUGAUCAAGAUAAAAACAGUUCUCAUCACAAAUACAUUUUAAAGAAAAGAGAUUGAGAGUUGCUCAUAAAAGCACACAGAGAAAGAAAGCAUGAUGGAUCCAAAGGAGAAGCCGCGUGUUUAGACGGCUGGCCAGACUUCUCCUGGGAAGUAAGUGCCAGGCAAAGACAGAAGCUGUUUUCCAAGUGUUUGUGAAGAUGGACAGGACAGAACUUUAACUCCAGAUAAGCAACUGCUCAAGAAUAAAGAUAACACAUUUCAAUAUGUCUAAAGCCCCACAGAGCUAACUGAGUCUAACCCAAGGAUUCUCCAAAGAGAAGAGUCUGUGGGAAAGAAUAAAAAGUCAAAAUGAAAAGCAGAAUUCAGGAAGAACAACCUUUGCCCACAAAGAAUUGGUGAAAUGUUUGUGUGAUCUGCAUGGCCAAACAAUGGACCUGGAAGUUUAAGGAAGAUUUUUCUUCAGAACGCAUUAUGGUCCCUUGAACUAGGGAACAAGAAAUGGUACCCAAAGAACAUGGUUGCGUAUAGACAGAUGGUCAAUAGAUUUUAUGUUCGUUUCUAAGUAAGAAUUCAUUGUUAUCUUUACAGUAGACAACUGGAGCAUGAGCAAGUGUUUUUCAGGGGAAGUGGACAUACAACUUCUUUGGAGGGAGACACUCGGAAUGUGAAGUCUAGAAGGAAAUAUAGGUCUCCCAAGUGCGUCUGUGAGAGUUGUUUUGGAUGUAAAGAUUGUUUGAAACUCGAUGGUUAAUAGUUUUCCUUGGCUGAAAAUCCAACUUCUCUGUUAUGCCCACUGAGUUCAGCAGCUCAGAGCGACUGGUGCACAAUUUAAGAGGAGUAGAGAUUGACUUCGUGGUAUGUAUGUGGGAGAUGCAGGGUCUUCAUGUUGUGCCACACACUUUCCAGCUGCAGUUUGAAGAACACAAUUGGUUUUCCACAGGGAUCCAGACAGGCAACAUGAUUGAGCCACUGAAGGAGGAUGAUCUGGUCCCGGAGAAGUUGUAUCUGGCACAAGAGAUAACAGCUCUCACAUGGAGAGUGGGAAAAUGUUUCCCGGACAAUGAGAAUGACUGACAGAUAUUAGAAGGGAGGAAAUUGAAGGCCUUGCCAAGUUUCGUGAUAAAAUGCUAUUUCUCACGGUAAGGUCAAGCUGUCUCCAGUGCAGCUACUGCUUUUCGAGUGCAAAGGAAACAGCAGAUUGGACAGAGUGUGGUAGAGUUUUGCAAAGAGUUUGCGAUCAAAGGCCACUUGUUUCAUUUGUAAAUGAAAUUGGAUGAGCAUGAGAGGCAUAAAGCUCAUCAAGGACGUGUUUGGAAUCUGCCGAUGAGUUAAAAGUUAAGAGCCAUGAGUAAGAAUGUCCCUAAAGACUUGAUCCCAGACUUUGGAUACAAAAUGACCGUCAAUGUUUGCAAGAUUACACAUGCCAAGGGAAGGUUGAAUCUGACUUUUCAAAGGCAGCAUUGUGCCAACAGCUUGGGAAUGACACUAUUGUGAAAUAUUGAUGAGUGCUUUGAAGGGUAGAAUAUAAAGUCUUGUAGUUUCCAAAGAUCAAGAGCCUAAAACGGAAGCAUAGCAUGCUCGUGUUUCUGAGAAGCAGAGUCCUCGUUUAUGCAUCAGGAGAGAGAUAAUUGUUCUGUUUAACAGGUGCUGAGCCAGAUGUAGGGAGGAGCUGAAUCUCUUCUCCUUUAAAGGCUUUGAAGAAUAGCUCUGCAGUGGUUUCAUGUCAACCUGACAAGGUGUCUUGGCUAAGCGUUAUUCUGAGUGUGUCUGAGAGGAUGUUUCUGAAUGAACAAUGGAAUCAGGAGCCUACAGCAGUGUGCCCUCUGCAGUGUGGGUGGGCCCGGUCCAGUCCGUGGAAACCAUGAGACAAUACAUUGAGUGAGGAGAAGUCCCACUGACUUGGGUCUGGAAGGUUGAUUUGCUCUUGUGUUUGGAUUUGAAGUCAGACUAGACUUUUCGCAUCCAACUUGUUCUCCGACAAGAUCUGUGUCAUAGGUUCUCCCCUGGGUUUUCAGCUUGCUGACUAAGGGUAUGGAAUUACUUAGCCUCUGUAAUCAUGUGAACCAAUUCCUCUGUGUGUGUGUGUGUGUGUGUGUGUGUGUGUGUGUGUAUUUGAGUAUGUCUGUGAGAGAGAGUUUGUGUGUAUGUGGUGUGUGUGAGUGUGUGUAUGUGAGUGUGUGGUGUGUGAAUGUAUGUGUGUGAGAAUGUGUGUGAGUAUGUGAGUGUGUGCGUGUGAGAAGGUGUGAGUGUGAGUAUGUGUGCAUGUGUGAGUAUGGGUGUAUGUGUUUCAGUGUAUCUGUGAGUGUGAGUGUAUGUGUAUGUAUAUUUGUGAGUGUGUGUGUAUGAGUGUGUGUGUAUGUGUGUGAGUGAGUGUGUGUUUCUUUUAUUGGUUCUGUUUCUUUAAAUAACCACAGUUGAUCCACAUCAACACCUUCAGCCUUGGAGAGGUUCGAUCUGAGGCUGUGCAGUGAGCACAGCCUUUGGUCCAGUGAUUGGUCAUCUGGGGAUUUAUCCUGCAGAAACAUUUGGACGUGGGACAGUGUACUAGGAAUGAAGGCCACCGUGAUGCACAUCACUGGGAGAUACCAUUCACCCCCGGCCUGUUCAUCACACCUUCGAAGCACAGCAAAGGUGUUCAGAAUUAAAUUUUUAGAAAUGGCAAACAUAGCAAAUGGUCGCGAUUGGAAGAGGCUGAGAGAAGCCGUGUGACGUUUAUGUGAUUACAUUGUGCCUUUGUUUGGAAAACUGAGACUGAUUUGGAUAAUCUGACAGGGAUAUGUGUACAAGUGGAGAAAAGCCAAGGUUGAGUAGAACAGUUGUACAGUGCGUUCACACUUGCGUGGAUGUGUGUGUGUGCUUGUGUACAGAUGGAUGUGCAUAUUACUAUAUAUGUGCACACACUGAGAACAUUCCUGGAAGGAUACAUAAACUGCAGAGACUAGUUGAUGCUGGAAAGAGAGCCUUGUGGUCAGAGCAACUAGAAAGUCUACUGUAUUUUGCUGUAAAUACCUUUAAAUGUUUUUUUUUUCUUUUUGUUAUGGCUAAGUAUUAGUUCCAUCGUUAAAAUCAAAGAACAAAAAAACAAAGAAACAAACAAAAACAACAACAACCCACAACUGAUCUAAAACUCAUCCAUUCUGUCAAUAAUUACAUGUACCAUGGAUGUACUGACCCAAAACCUUCCCAAAGGGCCAUGUGUGCACACAGUGAUACACAUAUGUGGCAGCCCACACACCUCUGGCAUCACUGCCCUGUCCAGGCUCUGUAGCUACACUGGAAAAGCUCACGUUCCCUUCACUGCCUUCCUUUCUGCUCUGACCUGAAGAGUCACCCAAACUGCUUCUGGACCUGCUGGCUAAUGGACCUGCUGGCUAAUGGCUGGCGGAAACGGUGGCUUGCACUCCUCCUUGGGAGUUGGUUUACCGACUCCUGGCUGUUAUUUCUUCUCUCAUGACGCAACAUUAGAAUCUUUCUGGAUAACUCCUUCAGCAGCUACUGCUCACCUUUUUUUUUUUCUUUUUUUCGGAGCUGGGGACUGAACCCAGGGCCCUGCGCUUCCUAGGCAAGCGCUCUACCACUGAGCUAAAUCCCCAACCCCUACUGCUCACCUUUAACCUCCUUAUAGUGCUCUGUGGAGAAAUAGCUUCUGACGCGUGACAAGGGCAAAGGACCCGAUAAAUGUAUCACUCCAUUGAAGACUGCAGAAAGAACUUGGGAGUACAUGGUACCUAUGAAAUCCAACACUUGGAUUUUCAUUUCAAGACUAAAAUGUUAUUUAAAGUGGUAGAAUGCCUGAUUUUGCUCUUGGGAGUACAAUAAGCAGAUAUUGAUUUCUGCUGAAGUUAACAUCAGGAAUUAUUGAACUGAAAGGUUCACACUGCUCUGGUCUCCACAUGAGUAAAUAUUUAGCUUGGAAAAAUAAUUAUUGUUGAUGUUAAGUUAAAAAUUAUACAUAUAUACAUAUAUGUGUAUAUAUGUACAUAAUUUUACAUAUAUAUAUAUCUGUGUGUGUGUUCUUUGUUCCAUGGUAAGGUGAAUGUUGACUAUACAUGCAUACACAUGCAAAUUUACAUAUGAGUAUAUUGUUACUUUUAUAUUGUUCUCUAUAUAUUUGUAUAGUAUAUACUUAAAACAUCUCUAAAGAAUAUUAGGUUUUGUAAAAGAAGCAAGUUAUAAAACUAGCAGCCCACCUGUGUCUUCACAUCUCCUGAUGAAGCCACCCCUGCCCUCUGUUGUUCGUCUUUCAUCAAGGCCCUCACUGUGUGCACAUCAUUCCGUUUGCUCAUGAAACAGAAGUCAGUGGAGAAAGACAGAAAGGUGGAGUGACCAAAUCAUCGGCCCCACCUCUGGUUUUAGAUCACUUACCAUUGGACAACUCCAUCUCAGGUAUGCCUGAAGAAAAGCUGUGACAGAGGAGGGUGCUAUCAGAAUCCAUCUCACCAACAUCCCCCUGCAUCGGAGCAAUGUAAGUGUACCAGGUUAGGAAGACAUGGCUGGCGGUUAAUACAGUGUUAUUUAUAAUAUUACAUUGAUGCCAUUUUCAUGGGAGCUGCUAGAAUGCACCGAGCCUUCUGCAUUUAUCAUACCAGGUUAUUUCUUGCCAUAAACCCAUGAGGCCAAUGCUGUCAGCCACAUUUUAUAAACAAAACGGUUGAAGCUAAGAAAUGCUAAGUCCUUUACGCACGGUCCUGCAGAUAUUAACAGCUGGGGUUUGAAUCGAUAUCUGUUUGAGUUCAGAGUCUAUAUUCUUAGCAUUGUUUUAUGUUACCUUUUGCUGAUCAGCACAGCUGUGUUCAAGUGCAUAUGUCUUAAAGGUCCUGCAAACGCAGUUUAUUCAUAGUAAGUGAGACUGGGGAAGAGUGCUCCUGAGACAGAAGGACUGGCUCGGUGAGGCCAAGACACGGAGAUAAAGGAGUACCCUGUAGUCAGCCACUAAUUGCCUCAGCCUUAUGCUGUCCAGAGGUCUGUUUCUUAGUCUUCAAGUUUUCUUUCGACUAGGACCUAUUUUUGCAGUCAGUCACGAGUGCACACAGCAUUUAGCACAGUAGUUACUGAGUGGAAUAAUACUUCUGUUCCCGUCAUGAAGUCACGUGUGGAGGGAAUGCUGUAGGCAGCGCCUGACUAGCCUACCUGGGAGAGAGCAUAUCUUGCCUCGCUGUGGGCGGCUUUCAAGUGAUGGCCAGUAGGUAUGGGCAAGCAUCAAGAUGCGAUUCAUCAAUUCGAGCAGUCCCUCCUCGAGUUGAGGAUCUCCAUUUUCAGAGUUCCCCAGGGUCCCUCUGAACCCUUUCUUCAACUCUUUCACAGCUGGGCUUCUCCUGACUGAAGAAGCUGCUCCUUAGCCCUGCCCUCCCAUCCCCCACUGUUGUUCUUUUUGCCUCAGGAACGCAACACCCGCAUUUCUUGUAAAUAAGUUGAUUUGAGGACUGCCCCCUUUCCCUCCUAUUCUCCAGGGUCAGCAGAAGAGGUUCAGAUCCACAAGGCUGAAGCUGAACUCAGUCCUGGGAUAGAACCUGAAGCGGCCAAGCUCCCAGCCCCCCACAUUCCUUUCCCUAUCCAUUCCACAAACACGCCUGGCUUGACCUUGCUCUGACCUUGCGAGCAGCUUCAGAAGAGCUGGCUCUGAAAGUUAGCAACGAUGACCAACCGUACUCCUUCAACACAGCAUGAUGAUUUCAUUACAUCUUAAAACGUUGAGCUUGGUUGAACAGCAGUGUGAAUUGUCCAGCCUGAGUUGACGUUCCUUCCCCAAUGGUGAAGGGAAAGAUCUUGUAAUGUUUGAAAAAAAUUAUUUUAUUUUAUUUUGUUGUUUUUGCAAGUUUGGAAUGUUAUCUCUCCUCUCCCUGUCCAAAGGAAAUAAAAUGUGCUAGUGGUUUAAUGAGAAAAAUCUAAAUGGAAUUCCAAUGAUCAACUGAUACACUUUUCCAAGCUUACGAAGCAAGCCAGUGAUAAAUGGCCGGUGAUGGGCUCCACAAUCGCUUAUAUGCAAUCAAAUCACUAAAGGGGCCUAUCAGGCCCUGUAGUCACCACAGAUGCCGUGAGAGGCGACUGUUAGGACAGGCAAGCCACUGGACCUGAAACCAGCCUCAUUUUUCUGAAGCCAGUGGGUGGAGCAGACUCUUCCCAACACGGUUUUGCUAUGAAUUUUUCCACUCUUUUUCCCCCCUAUAAUUUUUCCCCUUUUCAUUUUUUCUUUCUUUUUCAAGAACAUUCCCCCAUCUAGGGAAGAAAGGAAACACUCAUCUUUCUGCUGACUGGCUUGUGCACAACUGGAAAUUAUCAAAGACAUCGCUGUAUCGUUGAUGUAGUCAGAAAACAGGAAGCCGAUUUCCAUCUGAGAAUGAGCCCUCUCAGCUGAAGCUCCCUUUGGGGUCGAUGACCACGCUCUUUCCAUCUUGGGGCAAGGCCAACUUUAUUAAACUUCUACAGCACCAGCUUAUUUUUCAACCCUUCCCAAACAGAGCUUUUCCGAUGGAGUUCUCUCAGUCACGUGCACGGUCACGUGUUUGCUGCCAGCAAAGAGCUCCACAGGACCAGGACCUUACCUUCUAUGGGCACGGCCUGGAUGGUAUUCUCUCGUGAUCAAAAACAUUAGGAGGGCUGUGGAAGGAGAUGACUCGGGCGGUGAAAUGCCUGCCUUGCAAGCCUGAGGCCCCGAUUUGAAACUCCAGCACCCAUGCUAAGGCACCAGGACGUGAGACCGCCAACACCAGUGCCACAGAUAGCAGGAUAGAGCAGAGGCAGGUAGAGCUCACCCGGCAGUCAGCACAGCCCAACUGAAGGUGUCCAAGUUUGGUGAGAGAACUUGUCUCAAACAACGAGAGAUCCAAGAAGGCACCAAAUGUUGACAUCAGGCUUGUACAACAUACCUAAGCACCUACACACAUAUAUGCGCGCGCGCGCGCACACACACACACACACACACACACACACACACACACAAACACACACACACACACACCUGUGAAUAUGUCUGUAUACUGCCCCCAUACAACCACUUGGGGGCCCUUUAGUAAUUCUCACUCAAAGAUGAGGGUGGGCAGAAAAGGCACACGGGGAUUGAGAGCCCAGAUGUUCAUCGUGUGAGUGGGGGAAAAAACAUAAACUCUGCAGACCUAGAGAAGGAUCUGGAAAGUCCACUUGGAGACGAUGGCAAAGCAUCAACUGUGCCUAAGUUGAAGGAGAAAGAAGUGGAAUUAGAAGAGUUGGAGGAAGAAGAGAGGUUAAGGGGAAAGAGCAAGAAAGAAAUAAAGUCGUCUCUUGAGGUCUGGGUGAGGUCCAUUCCUCAAAAAAAGUCAAACAAACACAAAAGAAAGAGAAAAGAAAGGAGACGUGAAAAACUACUCUGCUGUUUAUUCGGCAAAUUAGAAAUCAGUUUUAUUAACUCCAAGAGGCAGACUUGACCUAGAAAACCACCAAAAAAGAAGAGGAGAAGGAAGGGAAAGAAAAUAGUGAUCAAGAAUCAGUAAUUCUUAAAAUAACCAAAGAUGGUUUUAAAUGAUUUGCUUUAAUAUAAAAACCAGAAAUUUAGGGCAUAAAAAUAAAAAUUAAUUUACUUUAAGAAUGAGUAUUAACGUUCCUCAAACACAUUUAAGAUGUGUGUAAACGAAACACAAGAUUUGGAGCAGAAUUCUACACAGAGCAGCAGUUAAGAGCCCUAAGGUUUGUUUCCUACCGUGGGAGUGGUUAGUAUUGAGAAAAACUUUAAUUUCUCAGAGUAUCUCAGAAUUGGAGUCGCCAACCUCUGUUACAGCCUCAACAAAUGGGCCCUGAGCAACAUUUAUCACAGACUGGUUUUCCCUCCAUGUUGGUAAAGUCUACCUCUAACAAUUCUUCUGCUCGGAAAACAUGUGUGUAAAUCCUUAAUCUGUGCUUAGCACCACCUAUGGCAAAUGGCUAUGAAGGUUAAUACAUCGAGUUAUAAAGAUUCACCACUAUUCUUGUUAGUUAUGAGGAAGCAUGGCAGGACUCCUAGUCCAGUUCUACAGAAGAGCCUUCUGGAGUCUUCAAGCCUGGCUUCAACUCCUCUUCAGAAGCCUUCCUUUGUUAGCAGGCUGCAUAUAAUCCCUACCAAGAACGACCUUUUAAAUAUGGAGAGCACAUACCACUGAGGAUGAAUGAAUGGCCAUGUUAUAAAACCUGCUGUUUGGGUUAGACAUGAAUAAAAGACAAAUGGUGUUUAAGGCUUUCAUUUAAAACACUUGGUCGUUCUUGUUCGAUCUUAUGAUACCUCUCAGACCAGAACUCUCAUUCAAUGGGGUAACCAAUCACUCUGAAAUUCUGUGUAGCUUCUGGUCCUGUCUCUGAAGUUAAUCUUGAAAGAGCGGUCAAAGUGCACACUUUUGAAUUUCUUCUUCAAGGUAUGGAGUACCUUUGACCAAGAUUAGGUUCAAAUAUGAUAGUUGGCCAUUCUCAAGUCUGAACGUUUCUCAUUAUACCGGUUAAAUUUCUUAAAUAAAUGACAGUGCUUCCAGUCAGAGACACUGUGAGCUACCAAUAAAAAUCAUGCUGUAUUUGAAAUUUAUGGUAUGUAAAUAAGUGAAAAAAUCAGAUUACACAAUAAUAACUAUGAUGUAUAUGGCAUUUCUAUGUGAUAAGUGUAUAUGCAUGCAAGAGAAAAUAUUUUAAAUGUUAUGUCCCAACAUGGUAAAAAAAUUAAUGGUGGGGCUGGGGAUUUAGCUCAGUGGUAGAGCGCUUACCUAGGAAGCGCAAAGCCCUGGGUUCGGUCCCCAGCUCAAAAAAAAAAAAAUUAAUGGUGAUUAUUGCAUAAAUCUGGGGUCGGACAUGUUACUUCGCUUUUGUCUCCGU
Molecule: non-coding RNA, 8850 nt
Organism: Rattus norvegicus (Norway rat)
Lineage: Eukaryota; Metazoa; Chordata; Mammalia; Rodentia; Muridae
Source: RefSeq, a predicted model, not a curated record